This 486-nucleotide ribosomal RNA is filed under the name uncultured bacterium. Its description in RNAcentral is "partial 16S ribosomal RNA". It matches the Rfam family "Bacterial small subunit ribosomal RNA", at positions 30 to 507 of the family's 1533-position model. The record is from RNAcentral.
AUUGAACGCUGGCGGCAUGCCUUACACAUGCAAGUCGAACGGCAGCACGGGUGCUUGCCCCUGGUGGCGAGUGGCGAACGGGUGAGUAAUACAUCGGAACAUGUCCUGUAGUGGGGGAUAGCCCGGCGAAAGCCGGAUUAAUACCGCAUACGAUCUACGGAUGAAAGCGGGGGCCCUUCGGGCCUCGCGCUUUAGGGUUGGCCGAUGGCUGAUUAGCUAGUUGGUGGGGUAAAGGCCUACCAAGGCGACGAUCAGUAGCUGGUCUGAGAGGACGACCAGCCACACUGGGACUGAGACACGGCCCAGACUCCUACGGGAGGCAGCAGUGGGGAAUUUUGGACAAUGGGCGAAAGCCUGAUCCAGCAAUGCCGCGUGUGUGAAGAAGGCCUUCGGGUUGUAAAGCACUUUUGUCCGGAAAGAAAUCCUUUGCCCUAAUACGGUCGGGGGAUGACGGUACCGGAAGAAUAAGCACCGGCUAACUACGUG